GACGAACGCUGGCGGCGUGCCUAAUACAUGCAAGUAGAACGCACAGUUUAUACCGUAGCUUGCUACACCAUAAACUGUGAGUUGCGAACGGGUGAGUAACGCGUAGGUAACCUGCCUGGUAGCGGGGGAUAACUAUUGGAAACGAUAGCUAAUACCGCAUAAUAUUGAUUAUUGCAUGAUAAUUGAUUGAAAGAUGCUAUUGCAUCACUACCAGAUGGACCUGCGUUGUAUUAGCUAGUAGGUGAGGUAACGGCUCACCUAGGCGACGAUACAUAGCCGACCUGAGAGGGUGAUCGGCCACACUGGGACUGAGACACGGCCCAGACUCCUACGGGAGGCAGCAGUAGGGAAUCUUCGGCAAUGGACGAAAGUCUGACCGAGCAACGCCGCGUGAGUGAAGAAGGUUUUCGGAUCGUAAAGCUCUGUUGUAAGAGAAGAACGGGUGUGAGAGUGGAAAGUUCACACUGUGACGGUAUCUUACCAGAAAGAGACGGCUAACUACGUG
Molecule: ribosomal RNA, 505 nt
Filed under: uncultured bacterium
Lineage: Bacteria
Description: partial 16S ribosomal RNA
Rfam family: Bacterial small subunit ribosomal RNA
Source: RNAcentral